Folsomia candida is the source of this 549-nucleotide long non-coding RNA. RefSeq lists it as uncharacterized. Lineage: Eukaryota; Metazoa; Arthropoda; Collembola; Entomobryomorpha; Isotomidae. The transcript is spliced from 4 exons. The record is from RefSeq and is a predicted model, not a curated record.
UGUCCUAGAAAGCAAACAAGACACUCACUUUUCUGGCAUAUGAAUACACACAUAUUUCCAUGUGAUUUCCUUGUUCAUGAACAAAGUUUGAGAGAAAAUAACACAUUUUGAUGAGUUCAAACAUACAUACACAGGAGCGCAUAGGAAUACUGCACAGUGACAGUAUCCAAUCCGCCAAGAUUGAAGAAGAUAUAAAAAGUGGAGCUAUUAUACAACAUUUUGCACAUUUGCUGGAUGUCCAAUCAGUUUGGAGUUGAUUCAAGGAAUAAGAGAACUAAAUCGAAAGAUGGGACUUGGACGUCAAGGAUAUUACAAAGCGUACGAUGACGACGAGGAUGAAGAGGACAAACAUGUUUUAGGGCAUGGUACCAAUAAAAAUGCGGUUCCAUGUCAUGAACAGGACUCACAUUAUGUUGCAUCCGUAAUUUUGGCAUCAAAACACAGAUCCACUUCACUCAACAAUUGCUCCGAGUUCGUGUAGUAAAUUCCACAUUGAGAAAAUGUAAAGAUCAAACGAGGUGUCCGAUUUCAAGAGUAACAAGAAAUAAA